RNAcentral lists this long non-coding RNA (496 nucleotides) under Parus major (Great Tit). RNAcentral describes it as "lncRNA (ENSPMJG00000014949.1)". Lineage: Eukaryota; Metazoa; Chordata; Aves; Passeriformes; Paridae. The record is from RNAcentral.
CCGCAUCCCCCACGGCAGCAUCACUUUUUCCGCUUUUAAUUCCUCCCACCUUUGCGUUCCUCCCUCCCCGCGCCCAGCUUCUCGCCCUCUCCGCAGCCUCCCGCCACCCACGGCGGGGCCUCCGGGCCAGACCCGGCUCCCGCUCCCGGUUCAUUCUCGCUCCGCUCCCGAAUCUUCCUGAUGCCAACCCUGUUGGCUUUGACCUGGACAGCAUAGCUCAGAUUCUGGCCCUGGUGAUGUCAACGAGAUCUUGCUAUUGAUCUUCAGACCUGAAUUUCAACAUACUGAGAUGCCUACAGUAUAUCCCUUCUACCUCAGCAUGUAUUUAUUUCCAGUGGACUCCCAGGUGGAUCUUCCUGAAAAUACUUGGAACCAAAUGUUUAAAGGCUUGGGUGAAGAGGAAGAGGAUUCUGCUGUAGGAGAGGCAUCAGGAGAUGUUCUACAUGUAGAAGAUAGGAAGUUGCUUUUACUAGCAGGGACAUCUUGCUGUGCUGAG